This 406-nucleotide ribosomal RNA is filed under the name uncultured bacterium. Its description in RNAcentral is "partial 16S ribosomal RNA". It matches the Rfam family "Bacterial small subunit ribosomal RNA", at positions 30 to 526 of the family's 1533-position model. The record is from RNAcentral.
AUUGAACGCUGGCGGCAGGCCUAACACAUGCAAGUCGAGCGAGCGGCGGACGGGUGAGUAAUGUCUGGGAAACUGCCUGAUGGAGGGGGAUAACUACUGGAAACGGUAGCUAAUACCGCAUACCAUCAGAUGUGCCCAGAUGGGAUAAGCUAGUAGGUGGGGUAAUGGCUAACCUAGGCGACGAUCCCUAGCGGGUCUGAGAGGAUGACCAGUCCAACUGUUACUGAGACACGGUCCAGACUCAUACGGGAGUCAGCAGUGGGGAAUAUUGCACAAUGGGCUCAAGCCUGAUGCAGCCAUGCCGCGGGUGUGAAGGAGGCUUUCGGGUUGUAAAGCACUUUCAGCGGGGAGGCGUUGCCCGCAGACGCAGCACCGACUAACUCCGUGCCAGCAGCAGCGGUAAUUC